GGCUCCACCGCGUGGUCUCAGGCAGGCUGGUGGCUGCCUGGUGAGGAGCUAUGGCCUCGCCAUCACUGCUCCACUGACACGCUUCUGCCGGCGCGCCCACUCAGGCCUCCCCCAGGAGGGCCCUCCUUGUCUGGGGCUGCAGAGGAGGUGCCUGGGGAGGGUCGUGUCCCCUCCAGGGGUGAAGGGUGACGGUGGCCCUCCAGGCAUCAUGCACGCUGCCAAGACUGGCCCUGGGUGACAAACCCGGGGACUUGGGGGCCUGUGUGUGUGGAUGGCUCCUCCCCACCCCCUCUACUCCCGGAACCAGCACAGACACGACCACACUGGUUUGCAACCAUUUAUUCCUGUGCAGGGCUUUGGUUAGAAAAAUAAACGGAAACCAAACAGAAUGAAUAUGAAGCCUGAAGGGAGCCGAAUGCCUCCUGUCCCCCCUCCUCCCCCCGCUGCUCAGGGAGGGACGUCCUCUUGUGCUGGGGGAGGCGCGGCUCCAAGCCAGCAGCUCUUCGUGCCGCACCGCCGCCCUGCCCUAGACCUUCCAGGGGAGCCCCCAUUCUGGCCAGGGAGAGGAGGGGGUGGGGCCCCGGUCCCGAGGGUCACAGGCUGGGGGCCCAGGUGAGGGCGAGGAGGCCCAGGGCCAGCGCCAGGCCGAGGGGGGCGCUGGUGAGCAGGGCGCGGGCGGGCGCAGCGCUCUCCAGAUUCUCGUUGCACAGGUCGCUCAGGCAGCACAGGGUGGACGAGGACCCCCUGCUGACUUGGCCCUGCAGGUUGUGCGUGGGCGUGCACGACUCCACGCAGUCCUUCACCACCAGGUUCCCAGAUAGGGGCUCCACUGGGGACGGGUGGGCGAGGUCAGGCCAGGCAGCACCUCCGACCCCCAGGGCCUCCCAAGUACCAGUUCCCAGCUUCCAUCGCCACCGUGACCGGACGGUCACCGAGAUCACUCCCACCAUCCUCCCCAGGGAUGAUCGUCCAAGCCCUGGGACACGGGGACAGAGCCCUGGAGUGUCCUGCAGGGGCCCCUUUCCCCUCCCCCAGAUCGCUCACCCUUGGUCACGGUCCUGCAGAAUUUUGAGUUGACUGAGCAGGUCUGAGGUCCCUUACAGUUGGUGGAGCUUGUGCAUAUGUGACAGCGGAGAGCCUGGGCUGAGGGCGAGGGUGUAGGGGUUUCAGCAGGCCCCAGGGAGACCUCCCAGGGAGACAGGGAGGCCUGGGUUUACUGCCGGAAAAGACUCCUCCUGGACAGAGCCCUCUGCCACCCCUGCCCUAGGCCAGUCCCCUCUGAGGCCCCUGGGCCCCGCCAGGGUUCAGAUCUUGCACACAGCCUCAGAAGGCAGGAGGUGACAGUCCCUGUCUGCUGGGGCCCUGGCACCCCGCCCGGAGGAGCUGUCCAGCGCCGGGCAUCCCUACAGGACCAGUGAGGAGGUGGCCAGUAUGUGGUGCACUGAAGACCCUUCCCCAGGGGCAUCAGAGGCUCUGGAAUUUGCUAACAGUGGCUCACAGGACCUGGCUGCAGUCCCCACCCUGGGGGCUGUCUCCUGGUGGGCAGCCCACGGAGAGGCAUCUCAAGACAACUCCCAGCAUCGCUCCUUCUCAGAAUGUCUGAUUCUCAGGGUUGAUUCUCUGAUUCUGAAAUAUUAAGUCUGUGAUCCCACAAAGUUAAGAUGCGGGGUUCACUUUGUUCUAGGGUUCACAACGCCGAGGUUCUCUGUGCCUAGAGGUGAGCAACUCCAGGCUUCCAGGGUCCGGCUCCCCACUGCCCCCAGCCCCCAGCCAGCUCCUCACCUGGCCCAGAAGCCACAGCCAGGGCAACAAGGAACAGCAGGGCUGCCUUCAUCUCGGGCGUUCCCGGGAACAGUGGGAGCCCCUCCUCUCCAGAGGCCUUAUCGCUGGGACAGGUGCUGGUGGGAGGGAGGAGCGGGGAGCGGCCCCUCCCUGCCUGGCCCACGCCCUCCAGCGAGGCACACCUCUGCCCUGCCAGCUGGAGGGAUCCCUGCCCCCGCUCCACCCCCACCCCACCCCACCCCCACCGCGCCGCCUGCCCCUCUCUGGGCUGUGGACAAAGGCCCUCAGCUGGUUCUGCAGCCCACCUCCUCUCUCUGUCCUCUGCCCAGCUCUGGUCACUUUGUCUUUGACCUUCCACUUUGUCUCUGACUUCCACCCUCAGAUAGGGUCACAGAGUCCCAAGCCUGUGUGGGUGCCCUGGGGGUGCCCAGCGCUGUGCUGGGGCCAAGGGGCGUGGUGCAGGAGGGAGGCUCAGGCCCUGCAUUCUUGGGCUCCCGGGGGCUCUGGGUUGCUAGGUUGACCCCCAGGGGUCCUGGGGAAAAGACCCUGGGGAAGUGAAGUGUUCACUAAGAUGUCUGGACCUGGGGGAGAAGGGGAAAGAGAAGCCCUCGGGGCAGGGACGUGGAUGCCAGAUGUGCCUGCGGAGAGGUGAGCACCGACUGGCUGAGGGCUGUGAAGUCCAGCGGGACCUGGGGCUUCGGAGGAGGGGCAGGGGCUGGACUGCUGGGGAGGGGGUGGUGUGGAGGCAAAGACGCAACCCCCCAUCGUCUCCACCACCCCUGCCUCCCAUCUUUCCAGGCCCCAGGACCCCUCCUCACCAAGUGCUCCCUCCGCCAUGCUCCAGCCCGGCCCUCCUCCAGCAGCUGCCCGCAUCCUGCUUUGUGACAGUUGCUCUCUGUGUCUGCUUUGGUCCUGAAAGGCAGUGUGCUCUUCCAGGCCAGGCCUAGGGCCCCGCCUGGUGCGGGGUUCGGCUGGGGGGUGCCGGGCAGAUCCCGCCCCACCCUCUCCCUCUGGCAGUGCUCACAGGAGGGACGCGGGCCUCUGCGCAUAGGCUCCCCCUUCCCUUGCCCCUCUCCCCGCAGGUUCCCCUGUCUGCUUGCUGGCCCUGGGACCCCACUACUUCUCCGAUGUGCCCGGCAAACCCUGCUGGGAGGUGCGGGUGGGACCCGCAGAGGCAGGCUGUGAUGACGCCGAGUGGGGCCGGGGCACUGACGGAGGUCAGCCCUGGGCCGCCGCCAGCAGCCCAACCUGCCGGUGGACACGCCCCUGAGGGUCUGGUGGGGCAGCGCCUGCUGUGGGGAUCUGGGCCAGCCUAAGGCUCUUUGGAGCAGAGGCUCAGGCCGGUCAGGUCUGGGCUCCAGACCCCUGGCCUUUCCUCCUGGCAGGCCCCCGGGCAAGCUGGCUCGUGAGCUGGGCCUCACCUCCUCCCUGCCGAGUCAGGGGUGCAUAUCGUGAUGCUGGGGGUCCAAAGAGGUGUGCCCACCCUGAAGCCGUCACUGGACCUGCAGGACCUGCACGAUGGUGGAGGGGCGGUGUUGCGGUGCCUUCCAGGAUCCUGGGGGGCACAGGGAGGGGGCAGGCAGGAGCCCCCGAGGCAGCCUCGCAUCAGCCUCCUGAGCCCGCGAAGGCUGCCUGUCCCGCUGGCUGGUCCCUGGGGCUUGUUUAAGGCAGCUGGGGUGCGGAUUGACAAGGCAGGUGACGUGGGGGUCCCUGGGCCCUGAUCCAGAGAGAGAAAGUCACCCUGAGAUCCGAGGUCUCCCCCGAAGCGGGAGGGAGGAUGCCCAGGGGGCCCUGGGAAGCAGGGCACAGGGCUCAGCGACAGGGUGGCAACUGGCAAGGGGUGGCGGAUGGCAGGUGGGGAGUGGCGACUACUUGGGACAACGGUCAUGGAAGCUGCUGGAAAAACAGGUUUGGGGGAUUAGGUUUCCUGUCGGGCCCGGUGGCGCUGCGGGAUCCAGGGAUGUCGGGCCGACUGGGAGUGGAGGUCUGGGCGUGAGGGCGCUGGGCAGCGGGCUCCCCGCAUAUAGGGCUGGAGGGGGCCCUGUACCCCCGAUCCACCUCCAUGAGGCACCUCAGGCUUUUAUGUGACUGUGUGCCCUGGUGGCAGGGCUAGACACUGGAGCAGAGGCGGCAGCUGGUCCUGUUCUGUGGGAAGGAGGCCUUUGCCCCGGCAGGGCCGCCCACAAGGAUGUGAGCUGCCUCUCCUGGGGCGUCCUAGCAGAAACAUCAACCCCAGAUACACUUUACUUGUGGGAGAAAGUGGGUGAUUCCAAUGACAGGAGCUCUCAGAGAACUGGGAGUUAUCAGGACGGUGCAGUCGGGGAGGGCUUCCUGCAGGCAGUGCUCUGGCCACCACGGUCUUAGAGGCCGGGUUCAGGGGACAGAGGAGCCCUGAAACUCGUCCCCUACCAACCCCUUUCACUGGUGAGGAAAUAAGGGCCAGAGAGGACCGGGCUGGCACCAGGUCAUCCGGGAGUGGGGCAGAAACUGGCACUUGUUUCUGUCACCACUGACCCCUCCUUCCCUCCCCCCUCACGUGCUGGAGAGAGCAGCUGCUUUCCAGAACCCGAGCCCUCCUAUCAGCCUGGGUCCCUAGACCUGACUGUACCAGCAGGCGUGACGCCCAGGAGAAGCCUUGGAGGGAAUACUACCCACUACGCCCACCCGCUAGCCCUGCCUGCUCCCUGAACUCAGCUGUCCAGGAAGCCAGACGCCAAGACAAGCCCGGGCCUCUGCCUGCAGCUGAGAGUUUUAGAAGGACUCAGCUCGUGCCAGGCACAGAGGGUGUAACAGAGGCUGAGCGAGGAGAGACAGGGCCCAGGCUUCAGGGCCCCCCGACUAGCUGGGGAGAAGUCGAGAGGGUGGACAUGUGAUGCUGUGUGUGUACCCGACCUGGAGUGAGGUGACUUCCCCUGAGUCAGGCAGCGGAGCGAUGCAGGGUCUCCCUUGGGCCUGCUCUGUUCCUAUCAUGGGACCCUGGCCACCAGCUGCCCUUCUCCAGAGACACCUUCUCCCCAUCGCUGGGCCGAAAAUCCAGGGAGUAGCCACGUGGGCAGCGCUUCCCUGCCUCGAAGCACAGCCUGUCGCCAGGAGUGGCUGGGCAGGAGCCCUAGGGCCAAGAGAGACCAACCCCCCUGAGAGAGGCCUCACAGGACCCCUGCUCACAGCAGCUCCGAGGACCAGCACAGGGCACCUCUCCACGGAGCCCCACGUGGGCCCUGACUGUCAGCUUCUCUGGCUGUGUCCCUGAGAGGACACUGGGACUUGGGGAUCUGGGCGAUGAGGGCGAAGUCCUCAGGUGUGGGCUGCGUCCUUCCGUGAAGGCAUGGGUAUAGGUUCUGGGGUAGUGACCUCGGGGCCCUUCUCACUUUCCACCCUCACUUCUCUGCCCUCACUUGCUCCCGACACCUACCCACCCAUCCACCCAUCUAUCCAUCAUUCAUGCAUGCAUCCGUCCACCUAUCCGUCCACCCAUCCAUUAUCCAUCCAUCCAUCCUCCCCAUCCGUCUAGCCACUCAUCUACCUAGCCAUCCAUGUAUCCACCCAUGCUAUUAUCCAUGCAUUCAUCCAGCUUCCAUCCGUCUAUCAAUCUAUCCAUCUGUCCAUCCAUCCAUUCAUCCGUCCACCAUCUACCCAUCUACUCAUUCCACUUACACGUCCUCUAGGAAAUAAUUACAAUGAUGUUUCUCUAUCUCCUCUCUCCUCUUCCCUUUCUCAUUUACACACACACCUACCCCUGACAAGAGAAAACAGUAAUUCUCAAAGACCACGGAGUGAAACCUGGUGGGGCUCGGAGAGCCUUAGGUCUGCAGGUGGUUGGCAGGCAGCUCUGGAACUUGCAACACCUGACAUGCAGACACUCCGUUUUUAUUUAAGAUUAUGUUAACUGGGGAGGAGAAGGGGGCUUUGGGAGGACAUCACUGAUCGUAACCCUUAAGAGGGGAAUAAAUAUCUAAUAUAAAUCA
Molecule: long non-coding RNA, 5747 nt
Organism: Balaenoptera ricei (Rice's whale)
Lineage: Eukaryota; Metazoa; Chordata; Mammalia; Artiodactyla; Balaenopteridae
Exons: 6
Source: RefSeq, a predicted model, not a curated record